AUUGAACGCUGGCGGCAGGCCUAACACAUGCAAGUCGAGCGGUAACAGAUUGAUAGCUUGCUAUCAAUGCUGACGAGCGGCGGACGGGUGAGUAAUGCCUGGGAAUAUACCCUGAUGUGGGGGAUAACUAUUGGAAACGAUAGCUAAUACCGCAUAAUCUCUUCGGAGCAAAGAGGGGGACCUUCGGGCCUCUCGCGUCAGGAUUAGCCCAGGUGGGAUUAGCUAGUUGGUGGGGUAAUUGCUCACCAAGGCGACGAUCCCUAGCUGGUCUGAGAGGAUGAUAAGCCACACUGGAACUGAGACACGGUCCAGACUCCUACGGGAGGCAGCAGUGGGGAAUAUUGCACAAUGGGGGAAACCCUGAUGCAGCCAUGCCGAGUGUAUGAAGAAGGCCUUCGGGUUGUAAAGUACUUUCAGUUGUGAGGAAGGCGUUGGAGUUAAUAGCUUUAGCGUUUGACGUUAGCAACAGAAGAAGCACCGGCUAACUACGUG
This 492-nucleotide ribosomal RNA is filed under the name uncultured bacterium. Its description in RNAcentral is "partial 16S ribosomal RNA". It matches the Rfam family "Bacterial small subunit ribosomal RNA", at positions 30 to 507 of the family's 1533-position model. The record is from RNAcentral.